This 197-nucleotide non-coding RNA is filed under the name bovine gut metagenome. RNAcentral describes it as "raiA RNA". It matches the Rfam family "raiA RNA". The record is from RNAcentral.
CUGGGUCUGUGGUUGCAAGCCGAUGCCAGUCGCAGGCAAAGCGGUCCACGUAAUCCGUCCAAAGCGGCGGGGAGCAUGGUGCGGUUUAGAAGUAAGUCCGCCCGGGUCUUCGGAUUCGAGAGAAGUGCGUGAGGGCGCAGAUGCGUUGAGCAAGCUUCCAGGCGGCGAGUGUGGGGGCAAAGACCAGGUCAGCCGAG